UCCCCCGUGGCGCAAUCGGAAAGCGCGUUCGGCUGUUAACCGAAAGGUUGGUGGUUCGAUUCCAGCCGGGGGCG
This 74-nucleotide transfer RNA is filed under the name Trichonephila inaurata madagascariensis. It matches the Rfam family "tRNA". Rfam says of the family: Transfer RNA (tRNA) molecules are approximately 80 nucleotides in length. The record is from Rfam by way of RNAcentral. Lineage: Eukaryota; Metazoa; Arthropoda; Arachnida; Araneae; Nephilidae.